This 488-nucleotide long non-coding RNA is filed under the name Malus domestica (apple). Its description in RNAcentral is "long non-coding RNA (MDOM_LNC002648)". The record is from RNAcentral. Lineage: Eukaryota; Viridiplantae; Streptophyta; Magnoliopsida; Rosales; Rosaceae.
UAAUAAAUUAUAGUCAAGAGAAGGAACAACAAGCACGGUAUCAAGACUAAGGGUAUCUGACAGGGAGACAGUGCCUUCUCCAAUAAUGGAAACAACAUUACCGUUGGCAACACUCACAACGGUUUUGUUGGAUGGUUUUAGGAUUUGUACCUGUCUAGAUUCACAAGUCAUAUGUUCAGUAGCACCGGAAUCAAUUAUCCAUGUAUUAUUCGUAACAGAUGCAGAAACGUUUAAAGCCUUACCAUCGUUGUCUAUAUGUUUAGAAGCUACCUUAGCUUUGGCAAUUAGUGCAUGAGUCUAGACUGCCAUUGUUCUGGAUGAGUUUGCUGCAAUGUGUAUGGGUGAUUGGUAACGUCCAAACUUCCAACCAAAGGUCCUGUAAAACAAUGACCAAAAAACAAACAAAUUUCUUUUUUCUUUUUUUCUGUUUCCUCCAUUUUUCUCCUUUUUUUUUUUGUCUUUUUCCUCUUUCUUUACUUCUUCACCCG